GGAUGGUGCCCACCCAGAGUGAGGGUGGGUCUGCCUCUCCCAGCCCGCUGACUCGAAUGUCAAUCUCCUCUGGCAACGCCCUCACAGACACGCCCACAAACAAUACUUUACCAGCUAUCUAGGCAUCCCUCAAUCCAAUCAAGUUGACACCUAAUAUUAACCAUCACACCAAUUAAAAAUAAAAUAAAGGUAAAAUGAAGAUACUUCAGGCAAGAAAAAACUUUGAAAAUGCAUUGCCAGUAGACCAACACUAAAAGAAGUAUUAAAGGAAAUGAUUCAAGAUAGAAACACGAAAAGGUAGAAAUAAAUGAGGAGUGCUGGGAAUGGUAAAUAUAUUGGUAUAUGGGUAAAUAUAAGUAAAUUCUGACAACUUAAACCAAAAGUAACAAUGUUCUCAGGAAAUUAAAAUAUAUGUAGAAUUAAAUACAUGAUAACGUAGCACAAAAAGCAGAAGGAGAGAAAUGGACUAAUGGUGUUGUACUAACAACACUUGCCAUGGUAACAUCCAAAACUAAACAGAAUGUAACAAGCCAACAAUGAGUAUUCUACUCUCUAGGGCAGGGGUUCCCAACCUCUGGGCCAUGGACAGGUAGCAGUCUGUGGCCUGUUAGGAACCAGGCCGCACAGCAGGAGGCUCAAGCCGUCUGUGUAAUUAUCUUAAACUUUUUCAUUUCGGAAAUGAAACAGCUCCUCCCUUCACCGCCACCUUGGCUAUUUCUGGGACCAAAGGAAUCCUUGAAGCUGACCGGGCAGGAGAGUCCACGCUGGGAGUAAAAUCACUACAAACGUUUGUAGGGGGGCCCUGGCUGAAUUAGUUCAAUUUCAGGGAGAAAACUGGUGUGUGUGUGUGUGUGUGUGUGUGUGUGUAAAAUCACUGCAAAUGUCUGUCGGGGCGUGGCUGGAUUAGCUCAGUUUCCGGGAGAAAACUGGUGUGUGUGUGUGUGUGUGUGUGUGUUGUGUGUGUGUGUGUGUUGGGAGGAAGGGGGAGGAAGGAGGAGGGCAUUCUCUGGUGGAGGAGAAACAGCCUGAGCUUCUCCCCUUCCCAUGUCUUUCACAGCAGCUCAUACACUGUUUUCUCGCCUUGCAAUGCCCAACUUUCUACCUAAUGACCUACCCUCCCCUAAGGCCCUGCUCAACUCACCUUCACUGAGAAAUCUUCUCUGGCCUUCAGCCCUUUUCUUAAAGCCCAAGGUCUCUGAAGCUGCACUUGAUUGGUUGGAUACUGUAUUAGACCAUUCCCACGCUGCUAAUAAAAACAUACCUGAGACUGGUGUCCAUCAGAAGGCCCCUGCUGAGUAGUUGGCAGGGUGGCUGCACAUAAUGGAAAGCACAUAAGCUUGAAGCCAGACAGAUGGGAGUUCUAACCCCAGCCCUGCCACUUAUUCCCAGGUGACACUGAGUGGAAAUUAGGCCAAAAUAAAUACUACUUUCUGCUUAAAAAAAUGCAGUGAUGUCCAAAGAGAAGGGAGGAGGAAGGAUGAAAGGAAAGACAGAGGAGGAAGGAAGAGAAGAAAGAAGAGUGGCCGGCACAAGGGCUUGGAGAUCCCUGAAGCUGUUUUCCUUUCUCCUCACCCCCACAGGGAGGGAUCCACAUCGUUGUGGGGUUUUUGUUGUUGUUGUUUUUGUUUUUGUUUUUUUGCCUCCCUUCAUCAAAGCAUUCAUUGUAGUGUAUGGUAAUUGUCUCUGAAUGUAACAGCCUCUCUUCCCUGAGGCCUGGGUCUGCUUGUUUCAUACCAUCUUCUCCUUAACACACAGUGCUUGGUAAACAAUACCUAUUAAUAAACAUUUGUUGAAUGAAUGAAUGAGUGAAUGAACGAAUACUGCACUCUUUCGACUUGGUUAGAGACAUGUCUUGUAGGCUGGCAUGUACUUCACACAGCACUCUUAGGUAGAGUUUGUAUAUGUUAUUCCAUUGAAGGGAAAAGGAAGCCAGACUGUGGGGAGAAAAAAAAAAAAAAAA
Molecule: long non-coding RNA, 1960 nt
Filed under: Homo sapiens (human)
Lineage: Eukaryota; Metazoa; Chordata; Mammalia; Primates; Hominidae
Description: HSALNT0317962
Source: RNAcentral